ACCGUGCAAAGGUAGCAUAAUAAUUAGUUUUUUAAUUGAAAGCUGGAAUGAAUGAUUGAACGAGAAAAUAGCUGUCUCAAUUUAAUUUUAUUAGAAUUUUAUUUUUAAGUAAAAAAGCUUAAAUAGUUUUAAAAGACGAGAAGACCCUAUAGAGUUUAAUAAUUAAUUAACUAUUGAUUUUUUAGUAUUAUUUUAUUAUUAAUAAAUUAAUUAUUUUAUUGGGGUGAUGGAAAAAUAUUUUUAACUUUUUUUUUAUUAUUACAUUAAUUUAUGAUUUUUUGAUCCAUUAUUUAUGAUUAUAAGAUUAAGUUACCUUAGGGAUAACAGCGUAAUUUUUUUUAGAGUUCUUAUCGAAAAAAAAGAUU
RNAcentral lists this ribosomal RNA (365 nucleotides) under Melolonthinae sp. c.s.syu201340. Its description in RNAcentral is "partial 16S ribosomal RNA". RNAcentral also lists the same sequence under 1 other name. Lineage: Eukaryota; Metazoa; Arthropoda; Insecta; Coleoptera; Scarabaeidae. The record is from RNAcentral.